Molecule: ribosomal RNA, 161 nt
Filed under: uncultured bacterium
Lineage: Bacteria
Description: partial 16S ribosomal RNA
Rfam family: Bacterial small subunit ribosomal RNA
Source: RNAcentral
UAGGGAAUCUUCGGCAAUGGGGGCAACCCUGACCGAGCAACGCCGCGUGAGUGAAGAAGGUUUUCGGAUCGUAAAACUCUGUUGUUAGAGAAGAACGUUAAGUAGAGUGGAAAGUUACUUAAGUGACGGUAUCUAACCAGAAAGGGACGGCUAACUACGUG